This 506-nucleotide ribosomal RNA is filed under the name Cymatodera serena. Its description in RNAcentral is "partial 16S ribosomal RNA". The stretch from base 383 to 506 matches the Rfam family "Bacterial large subunit ribosomal RNA", at positions 2473 to 2597 of the family's 2925-position model. Lineage: Eukaryota; Metazoa; Arthropoda; Insecta; Coleoptera; Cleridae. The record is from RNAcentral.
CCUUUUGAAUUUAAUUUAAGGUCUAAUCUGCCCACUGAGUGAUUAAAUGGCCGCGGUAUUUUGACCGUGCGAAGGUAGCAUAAUCAUUAGUUUCUUAAUUAAAAGCUGGAAUGAAAGAUUGAAUGAGAAAAUAACUGUCUCAAAUUAAUUUAGUUAGAAUUUUAUUUUUAAGUUAAAAAGCUUAAAUAUUAUUAAAAGACGAGAAGACCCUAUAGAGUUUUAUAUUUAAUUUAAAUUUAAAUAAAUUGUUUAUAUAAAUUUAAUUUAAAUUAAUUAUUUUGUUGGGGUGACAAAAAAAUUAAAUAAACUUUUUUUUUAUUUUAAUACUAAUUUGUAAAUUAUUGAUCCAAAGUUUUUGAUUAUAAGAUUAAAUUACCUUAGGGAUAACAGCGUAAUUUUUUUUAAGAGUUCUUAUCGAAAAAAAAAAUUGCGACCUCGAUGUUGAAUUAAAAUUAAGUUUUGGUGUAGAAGCUAAAAUUUUAGGUCUGUUCGACCUUUAAAACUUU